Molecule: ribosomal RNA, 2923 nt
Filed under: Klebsiella pneumoniae
Lineage: Bacteria; Pseudomonadati; Pseudomonadota; Gammaproteobacteria; Enterobacterales; Enterobacteriaceae
Description: bacterial LSU rRNA
Rfam family: Bacterial large subunit ribosomal RNA
Source: RNAcentral
GGGUUGUGAGGUUAAGCGACUAAGCGUACACGGUGGAUGCCCUGGCAGUCAGAGGCGAUGAAGGACGUGCUAAUCUGCGAAAAGCGUCGGUAAGGUGAUAUGAACCGUUAUAACCGGCGAUGUCCGAAUGGGGAAACCCAGUGUGAUUCGUCACACUAUCGUUAACUGAAUACAUAGGUUAACGAGGCGAACCGGGGGAACUGAAACAUCUAAGUACCCCGAGGAAAAGAAAUCAACCGAGAUUCCCCCAGUAGCGGCGAGCGAACGGGGAGCAGCCCAGAGUCUGAAUCAGCUUGUGUGUUAGUGGAACGGUCUGGAAAGUCCGACGGUACAGGGUGAUAGUCCCGUACACCAAAAUGCACAGGUUGUGAACUCGAAGAGUAGGGCGGGACACGUGGUAUCCUGUCUGAAUAUGGGGGGACCAUCCUCCAAGGCUAAAUACUCCUGACUGACCGAUAGUGAACCAGUACCGUGAGGGAAAGGCGAAAAGAACCCCGGCGAGGGGAGUGAAAAAGAACCUGAAACCGUGUACGUACAAGCAGUGGGAGCACCUUCGGGUGUGACUGCGUACCUUUUGUAUAAUGGGUCAGCGACUUAUAUUCUGUAGCAAGGUUAACCGUAUAGGGGAGCCGCAGGGAAACCGAGUCUUAACUGGGCGUUAAGUUGCAGGGUAUAGACCCGAAACCCGGUGAUCUAGCCAUGGGCAGGUUGAAGGUUGGGUAACACUAACUGGAGGACCGAACCGACUAAUGUUGAAAAAUUAGCGGAUGACUUGUGGCUGGGGGUGAAAGGCCAAUCAAACCGGGAGAUAGCUGGUUCUCCCCGAAAGCUAUUUAGGUAGCGCCUCGUGAAUUCAUCUUCGGGGGUAGAGCACUGUUUCGGCUAGGGGGUCAUCCCGACUUACCAACCCGAUGCAAACUACGAAUACCGAAGAAUGUUAUCACGGGAGACACACGGCGGGUGCUAACGUCCGUCGUGAAGAGGGAAACAACCCAGACCGCCAGCUAAGGUCCCAAAGUCAUGGUUAAGUGGGAAACGAUGUGGGAAGGCACAGACAGCCAGGAUGUUGGCUUAGAAGCAGCCAUCAUUUAAAGAAAGCGUAAUAGCUCACUGGUCGAGUCGGCCUGCGCGGAAGAUGUAACGGGGCUAAACCAUGCACCGAAGCUGCGGCAGCGACACUAUGUGUUGUUGGGUAGGGGAGCGUUCUGUAAGCCUGCGAAGGUGUGCUGUGAGGCAUGCUGGAGGUAUCAGAAGUGCGAAUGCUGACAUAAGUAACGAUAAAGCGGGUGAAAAGCCCGCUCGCCGGAAGACCAAGGGUUCCUGUCCAACGUUAAUCGGGGCAGGGUGAGUCGACCCCUAAGGCGAGGCCGAAAGGCGUAGUCGAUGGGAAACAGGUUAAUAUUCCUGUACUUGGUGUUACUGCGAAGGGGGGACGGAGAAGGCUAUGUUAGCCGGGCGACGGUUGUCCCGGUUUAAGCAUGUAGGCUGGUUAUCCAGGCAAAUCCGGAUAAUCAAGGCUGAGGUGUGAUGACGAGGCACUACGGUGCUGAAGUAACAAAUGCCCUGCUUCCAGGAAAAGCCUCUAAGCAUCAGGUAACAUUAAAUCGUACCCCAAACCGACACAGGUGGUCAGGUAGAGAAUACCAAGGCGCUUGAGAGAACUCGGGUGAAGGAACUAGGCAAAAUGGUGCCGUAACUUCGGGAGAAGGCACGCUGGUGUGUAGGUGAAGUCCCUGCGGAUGGAGCUGAGACCAGUCGAAGAUACCAGCUGGCUGCAACUGUUUAUUAAAAACACAGCACUGUGCAAACACGAAAGUGGACGUAUACGGUGUGACGCCUGCCCGGUGCCGGAAGGUUAAUUGAUGGGGUUAUCCGUAAGGAGAAGCUCUUGAUCGAAGCCCCGGUAAACGGCGGCCGUAACUAUAACGGUCCUAAGGUAGCGAAAUUCCUUGUCGGGUAAGUUCCGACCUGCACGAAUGGCGUAAUGAUGGCCAGGCUGUCUCCACCCGAGACUCAGUGAAAUUGAACUCGCUGUGAAGAUGCAGUGUACCCGCGGCAAGACGGAAAGACCCCGUGAACCUUUACUAUAGCUUGACACUGAACAUUGAGCCUUGAUGUGUAGGAUAGGUGGGAGGCUUUGAAGCGUGGACGCCAGUCUGCGUGGAGCCAACCUUGAAAUACCACCCUUUAAUGUUUGAUGUUCUAACGUUGGCCCCUGACCGGGGUUGCGGACAGUGUCUGGUGGGUAGUUUGACUGGGGCGGUCUCCUCCCAAAGCGUAACGGAGGAGCACGAAGGUUAGCUAAUCCUGGUCGGACAUCAGGAGGUUAGUGCAAUGGCAUAAGCUAGCUUGACUGCGAGCGUGACGGCGCGAGCAGGUGCGAAAGCAGGUCAUAGUGAUCCGGUGGUUCUGAAUGGAAGGGCCAUCGCUCAACGGAUAAAAGGUACUCCGGGGAUAACAGGCUGAUACCGCCCAAGAGUUCAUAUCGACGGCGGUGUUUGGCACCUCGAUGUCGGCUCAUCACAUCCUGGGGCUGAAGUAGGUCCCAAGGGUAUGGCUGUUCGCCAUUUAAAGUGGUACGCGAGCUGGGUUUAGAACGUCGUGAGACAGUUCGGUCCCUAUCUGCCGUGGGCGCUGGAGAAUUGAGGGGGGCUGCUCCUAGUACGAGAGGACCGGAGUGGACGCAUCACUGGUGUUCGGGUUGUCAUGCCAAUGGCACUGCCCGGUAGCUAAAUGCGGAAGAGAUAAGUGCUGAAAGCAUCUAAGCACGAAACUUGCCCCGAGAUGAGUUCUCCCUGAGACUUUAAGUCUCCUGAAGGAACGUUAAAGACGAUGACGUUGAUAGGCCGGGUGUGUAAGCGCAGCGAUGCGUUGAGCUAACCGGUACUAAUGAACCGUGAGGCUUAACCUUACAACGCCGAAG